RNAcentral lists this ribosomal RNA (385 nucleotides) under uncultured eukaryote. RNAcentral describes it as "SSU rRNA". It matches the Rfam family "Eukaryotic small subunit ribosomal RNA", at positions 587 to 969 of the family's 1831-position model. The record is from RNAcentral.
AGCUCCAAUAGCGUAUAUUAAAGUUGCUGCAGUUAAAAAGCUCGUAGUUGGAUCUCGGGUGCAGGCUUGCGGUCCGCCUCGCGGCGGUCACUGCUCGCCCUGACCUCCAGGCCGGUGUCACCGUCCCUUGGUGCUCUUGAUUGAGUGUCUCGGGCGGCCGGUACGUUUACUUUGAAGAAAUUAGAGUGCUCAAAGCAGGCCACAGCCGCCUGAAUAAUGGUGCAUGGAAUAAUGGAAUAGGACCUCGGUUCUAUUUUGUUGGCUCUCGGAGCUCGAGGUAAUGAUUAAUAGGGACUGACGGGGGCAUUCGUAUUGCGGCGACAGAGGUGAAAUUCUUGGACCGUCGCAAGACGAACUACAGCGAAAGCAUUUGCCAAGCAUGUUU